RNAcentral lists this signal recognition particle RNA (306 nucleotides) under Arabidopsis thaliana (thale cress). Its description in RNAcentral is "Plant signal recognition particle RNA". It matches the Rfam family "Plant signal recognition particle RNA". The record is from Rfam by way of RNAcentral. Lineage: Eukaryota; Viridiplantae; Streptophyta; Magnoliopsida; Brassicales; Brassicaceae.
GUCGAGCUAUGUAACGAGAGCUUGUAACCCAAGUGGGGACUAUAAGAUGGUGGAACACUGGAUCGGCCCACGGGUCGGAUUUGUUGUUGGCAUAGGUCUGGACUGCCCAAUCCAAGCUGUGAGUGAACCGUAUGAACCAAGCGAAGGUUUGAUCCGUACGGUUGCUAAAGGUUGAGGGUAUUGCGUUAGGCUGGCUUCACAGAGCAGCGACUACCUCCCGCUCUCAGCAGUGGACGGACAACGGUUCGACGCCACACAAAUCCACUAUGGUCCGCUGGCUCGUAACCCGCUUGAACCACCAUUUUU